CAGUCCGCGGUAAAACGUAGGGUGCAAGCGUUAAUCGGAAUUACUGGGCGUAAAGCGUGCGCAGGCGGUUAUAUAAGACAGAUGUGAAAUCCCCGGGCUCAACCUGGGAACUGCAUUUGUGACUGUAUAGCUAGAGUACGGCAGAGGGGGAUGGAAUUCCGCGUGUAGCAGUGAAAUGCGUAGAUAUGCGGAGGAACACCGAUGGCGAAGGCAAUCCCCUGGGCCUGUACUGACGCCCAUGCACGAAAGCGUGGGGAGCAAACAGGAUUAGAUACCCCAGUAGUCCCUGUCUCUUAUACAC
This 301-nucleotide ribosomal RNA is filed under the name uncultured bacterium. RNAcentral describes it as "partial 16S ribosomal RNA". It matches the Rfam family "Bacterial small subunit ribosomal RNA", at positions 512 to 809 of the family's 1533-position model. The record is from RNAcentral.